CGCUGGCGGCGUGCUUAACACAUGCAAGUCGAACGGGAUCCCGGGGGUUCGCUCCCGGGUGAGAGUGGCGAACGGGUGAGUAAUGCGUGACCGACCUGCCCCAUACACCGGAAUAGCUCCUGGAAACGGGUGGUAAUGCCGGAUGCUCCGGUUGGAUGCAUGUCCUUCCGGGAAAGAUUCUAUCGGUAUGGGAUGGGGUCGCGUCCUAUCAGCUUGAUGGCGGGGUAACGGCCCACCAUGGCUUCGACGGGUAGCCGGCCUGAGAGGGCGACCGGCCACAUUGGGACUGAGAUACGGCCCAGACUCCUACGGGAGGCAGCAGUGGGGAAUAUUGCACAAUGGGCGCAAGCCUGAUGCAGCGACGCCGCGUGCGGGAUGGAGGCCUUCGGGUUGUAAACCGCUUUUGAUCGGGAGCAAGCCCUUCGGGG
RNAcentral lists this ribosomal RNA (428 nucleotides) under Bifidobacterium dentium. RNAcentral describes it as "bacterial SSU rRNA". It matches the Rfam family "Bacterial small subunit ribosomal RNA", at positions 34 to 460 of the family's 1533-position model. Lineage: Bacteria; Bacillati; Actinomycetota; Actinomycetes; Bifidobacteriales; Bifidobacteriaceae. The record is from RNAcentral.